GGAUGGACUCAGUUUUAUUCAUUAUUUUUAUAUAAUUGCCAUAGAGACUAUUAUACCCAGGUUUUAUCACUUGCUGAUUAUACACUUCAACCAAUUGGUUUCUAUUUUAUGGUACUGUUCUCUGUACAAUAGCGCAGCCCUUAACUCCUCUUUUUUUCUUCCUAUCAUAAGGGUAGUGACCAAGUGCUACAUGCAUGUGUGACAUGGCUACAUUUACCCACAUGUAAACCUCUAAUGAAGAACUAUUUCACUUAUCUGUGAGUUGUAGUAACUUUGUAAAAGGCUUGUAAAAUCUAGACCAAAAUAAGAAGUGUUUCAAAUUAGCUUGCUUCUUUAAGUAGACUGUUCCUUCUGUUUCUUUAGCCUUCUUGGUACUCUAUAUUUUUUACAAAUUCAAUCUCUUUUUUAUGCUGUUGUGCUGUGUUUCCCACAUAUGUUCUCUGUUUAACUCUACCUUCCAGGAGCAAAAAAAAAAAAAAAGCUUAAUAUUCACAAUAUUUACAGACAGCAGAGAGUGAUGGGUCUGCACCUAACCUUCAUAUGCAAAACUACUUUUCUGCUGACACCAGACUGCUUAGAAAAGCACAUACAGAGUUAUUCACUAAAGUUAGUAUUCUCAGGAAUCCAAAGUAAAUUUCUAAUUUUAGAUGAAAAACUCGUUUAUAACAGAUUUGAGAUUUUUUUCAAUUCAGCUAUAUUUGAACUUUUUAAAAAAAUUUCCUGACAGUUUAAACUUUAGUAAAUAACCCUGAUAGACUGAAACUUAAAUAAAAUUCAGCAACACAAAUUUAAAAUUCUCCUAGACAUGCUACCAUAAAUACUAGUUUUAUUAAAGGUUUGUAACAAUACAAUGGAAACCAAUCAAACAAAAGGCUCACAGUGAUUUCUGAGAUAACUCCAGGAUAUUUUUCAAGGAUUAAAUGUGUAAUUCUACUUGAGAUAUGCAUAAAGAACACUUAUUUGAAAGGGAUAUUUAUUAAAAAGAAAAAAGAAACCCUAGACAAGUUUGCUAUUAUUAUUUUGACAAGAAUCACACAGUAUAGGUGUACAAGUACAGGAGCCAUCAAUGUCAGACUUUAAUAAACUAAAUAAGGGAUACUUUUAGAAUUAUAAUUAGCAGUAACAAUGUCUCACUUAUGACAUUGCAUUGAAGCAGCUUAGAACUGCCAACUGCUGCCAAUAAAGUGCACUAUAUUGUAUAACAAAAACAAAUUUGGUUGCAGGAGAAGUUAAAAUUUCAGUUACAUUUGGUUGAACAUUUCUUGUAAACAUAUUCAGAAACCAGCUUUCCUCACCAGGGAUAAAAAACACUUCUGGGAGAAUUUGAAAAUUCCCCAUGCCAGAGAAGUAUGUAUCCUCGCUUUUUUGGCAUAGGAAAUGUAAACAUGGUGCUACAUACACAACCACUAGAACAACAGCGGCCUUAUCUGGGGGGUGGCCUCCCCAUGUCAUCCUACUCCCAGUUUGAGUACAAACUCCCUUUUUGCCUUUUUAAAGUGAUCCGUUACUCUGGUCCCAAAUGUCUGUUUUGUCGAGGUGUUCGGGGGGUGGGAAGGGGCAUGUAGCACAUUGGCAUUUUUUAGAUGUAUUUAUAAAAUUGUACAUGUUAAAAAACAAAAACGCUUAUUUUAUUGUGUUUCUUAUGUUUUGCUUACGAGUUAUAUAAAAAGGUGUGUGUUAACCUAAGUGACCAGAGUGUGAUCACACUUACAAAUGUAUAUUAUGUCUGAAACAAAACUUCCAUUAACCCUUUAAGGACCAAACUUCUGGAAUAAAAGGGAAUCAUGACAUGUGUCCUUAAGGGGUUAAAUAUCUUGUUCAUACCUUGCACUUGCAAAAAAAUACUUUUGCUUUUGGUUUUAAACUAAGUGCAAAUCAUAAAAAUGUUGGCAAAAUAGUAAAUAGUCUAAAUUCCAUAACUCCAAUGUGCUAUAUGGAUGAUUUAGCAACAGGCUUAUUUUAUUCUGUCCACUCAAGUUGUAGAAAAAGACUCUUUAGUCCAGUGAC
Molecule: non-coding RNA, 2007 nt
Organism: Pelobates cultripes (western spadefoot toad)
Lineage: Eukaryota; Metazoa; Chordata; Amphibia; Anura; Pelobatidae
Source: the annotation of a GenBank genome assembly